CGCUGGCGGCGUGCUUAACACAUGCAAGUCGAACGGAAAGGCCCUGCUUUUGUGGGGUGCUCGAGUGGCGAACGGGUGAGUAACACGUGAGUAACCUGCCCUUGACUUUGGGAUAACUUCAGGAAACUGGGGCUAAUACCGGAUAGGAGCUCCUGCUGCAUGGUGGGGGUUGGAAAGUUUCGGCGGUUGGGGAUGGACUCGCGGCUUAUCAGCUUGUUGAUGGGGUAGUGGCUUACCAAGGCUUUGACGGGUAGCCGGCCUGAGAGGGUGACCGGCCACAUUGGGACUGAGAUACGGCCCAGACUCCUACGGGAGGCAGCAGUGGGGAAUAUUGCACAAUGGGCGGAAGCCUGAUGCAGCAACGCCGCGUGCGGGAUGACGGCCUUCGGGUUGUAAACCGCUUUCGCCUGUGACGAAGCGUGAGUGACGGUAAUGGGUAAAGAAGCACCGGCUAACUACGUGCCAGCAGCCGCGGUGAUACGUAGGGUGCGAGCGUUGUCCGGAUUUAUUGGGCGUAAAGGGCUCGUAGGUGGUUGAUCGCGUCGGAAGUGUAAUCUUGGGGCUUAACCCUGAGCGUGCUUUCGAUACGGGUUGACUUGAGGAAGGUAGGGGAGAAUGGAAUUCCUGGUGGAGCGGUGGAAUGCGCAGAUAUCAGGAGGAACACCCAGUGGCGAAGGCGGUUCUCUGGGCCUUUCCUGACGCUGAGGAGCGAAAGCGUGGGGAGCGAACAGGCUUAGAUACCCUGGUAGUCCACGCUGUAAACGGUGGGUACUAGGUGUGGGGUCCAUUCCACGGGUUCCGUGCCGUAGCUAACGCUUUAAGUACCCCGCCUGGGGAGUACGGCCGCAAGGCUAAAACUCAAAGGAAUUGACGGGGCCCCGCACAAGCGGCGGAGCAUGCGGAUUAAUUCGAUGCAACGCGUAGAACCUUACCUGGGUUUGACAUGGAUCGGGAGUGCUCAGAGAUGGGUGUGCCUCUUUUGGGGUCGGUUCACAGGUGGUGCAUGGCUGUCGUCAGCUCGUGUCGUGAGAUGUUGGGUUAAGUCCCGCAACGAGCGCAACCCUUGUUCACUGUUGCCAGCACGUUAUGGUGGGGACUCAGUGGAGACCGCCGGGGUCAACUCGGAGGAAGGUGGGGAUGACGUCAAGUCAUCAUGCCCCUUAUGUCCAGGGCUUCACGCAUGCUACAAUGGCUGGUACAGAGAGUGGCGAGCCUGUGAGGGUGAGCGAAUCUCGGAAAGCCGGUCUCAGUUCGGAUUGGGGUCUGCAACUCGACCUCAUGAAGUCGGAGUCGCUAGUAAUCGCAGAUCAGCAACGCUGCGGUGAAUACGUUCCCGGGGCUUGUACACACCGCCCGUCAAGUCAUGAAAGUUGGUAACACCCGAAGCUGGUGGCCUAACCGUUGUGGGGGAGCCGUCGAAGGUGGGACUGGAGA
This 1434-nucleotide ribosomal RNA is filed under the name uncultured organism. RNAcentral's name for it is "partial small subunit ribosomal RNA". It matches the Rfam family "Bacterial small subunit ribosomal RNA". The record is from RNAcentral.